Podarcis raffonei (Aeolian wall lizard) is the source of this 241-nucleotide long non-coding RNA. RefSeq lists it as uncharacterized. The record is from RefSeq and is a predicted model, not a curated record. Lineage: Eukaryota; Metazoa; Chordata; Lepidosauria; Squamata; Lacertidae. The transcript has 2 exons.
CAGGCCACCCUUUGCGCCUCAGUUUUCAAACGUUUCGGAAUUCGGGCGGUCUUCCGAAACGGAUUGCAUUCAAAAACUGAGUGUGCUGGCGUCAGUGAUGAGCCCAUGCUCAAAGGGACUUUUUGAUGUCUUUUGCUGCAUGCCGGAAAACGAAGAAUCAAAAUAUGCUGUAUUUUCCUUAUCACAUAAUUUUCACCUCAAUCUAGGCUCUGCUGAUCAAAUAAAGGAAGAUAAGAAUUUC